RNAcentral lists this unclassified non-coding RNA (240 nucleotides) under soil metagenome. RNAcentral describes it as "partial contains 5.8S ribosomal RNA, internal transcribed spacer 2, and large subunit ribosomal RNA". The record is from RNAcentral.
AACUGAUACUACCUGCGGGAACCUGCGGAGGGAUCAUUACUGAGGAGGGUCCAUGGCCCGAUCUCCAACCCUUUGAUAAAAACACCAUGUUGCUUUGGCAGGCCCGCCCGUUGGGGCCGCGGGGGAUCGCCGGUCCCUAGCCCGUGCCUGCCGGUAGCCUUCACAAAACUCUCAAAAUGUUGUCGUCUGAGAUGAUUAGAAUAAUAAAACUUUUAACAAUGGAUCUCUAGAUCGGAAGAG